AGCAAAUGAUGUUUUCUCACGAUGGUCUUCCUAGACUCCAGGAGAGCUCUGAGGAUAGAGCCUUAUGGCAAUGCUGAUGCAGCUGA
Small nucleolar RNA from Megalobrama amblycephala (Wuchang bream), 86 nucleotides. RefSeq annotates it as small nucleolar RNA SNORD35. The transcript has a single exon. NCBI's taxonomy places the organism in Eukaryota, Metazoa, Chordata, Actinopteri, Cypriniformes, Xenocyprididae. The record is from RefSeq and is a predicted model, not a curated record.